RNAcentral lists this ribosomal RNA (305 nucleotides) under uncultured bacterium. Its description in RNAcentral is "bacterial SSU rRNA". It matches the Rfam family "Bacterial small subunit ribosomal RNA", at positions 337 to 639 of the family's 1533-position model. The record is from RNAcentral.
ACCUACGGGAGGCAGCAGUGAGGAAUAUUGGUCAAUGGCCGAGAGGCUGAACCAGCCAAGUCGCGUGAGGGAAGACGGCCCUACGGGUUGUAAACCUCUUUUGUCGGGGAGCAAAGAGAGUCACGUGUGACUCAUUGAGAGUACCCGAAGAAAAAGCAUCGGCUAACUCCGUGCCAGCAGCCGCGGUAAUACGGAGGAUGCGAGCGUUAUCCGGAUUUAUUGGGCGUAAAGAGAACGCAGGCGGUCUUUUAAGUCUGAUGUGAAAGCCUUCGGCUUAAACGGAGUAGUGCAUUUGAACCUGGGAG